This is a long non-coding RNA of Salarias fasciatus (jewelled blenny), 269 nucleotides long. RefSeq lists it as uncharacterized. The transcript has 2 exons. NCBI's taxonomy places the organism in Eukaryota, Metazoa, Chordata, Actinopteri, Blenniiformes, Blenniidae. The record is from RefSeq and is a predicted model, not a curated record.
CACCACCACCACCACAUCAGGAUGGUGCGGACAUCCACUAUGUGAAUGAUUUUUUUGUUCGAGAUACGGAGUUGGGAGAAGACCGGACUCUUCUCGGCAUCGUUAGAAAUGCUGCUUUCGACACGGCGCUUCGGAAGGCCAAAGCAGUUGCUGCCGACGUUCUGAACUGGAGCUUCAUGCGCGGUGGGAUAGCAUAUCUUCAGUACGGUGAUCUGCAACGGCUCAUGGAUGAGCGCUUAGAGCAAGCCUUGUCCUGUUAAAAAAAAAAA